RNAcentral lists this unclassified non-coding RNA (4302 nucleotides) under Dimorphilus gyrociliatus. Its description in RNAcentral is "dgyrCDS656". The record is from RNAcentral. Lineage: Eukaryota; Metazoa; Annelida; Polychaeta; Dinophilidae.
AUUAUGAUGACGACAGAGAAUCUUUAUGCAUGUUUGUUGGCUGUAGAACCAAAAAAAAUACAUUAUCAUGCUAAAUACAAGAGAACCGCUAAUCCGAAAAAAUAAUGGACAAGACGUAAAUCAUGGCUAUGUUGACUUACGGCCACAGGGUGACGGCGACUUGAAAAUUGUGGUAUCACCUCUAGAAAUGAUUACAAUCAUAAGAUCAUGUAAUAAGGAAUUAUUCAACGAAAAAAUAAUGUAUAAUAUGGAAUUAUCUGAUUACGAAUUACUCAUCGAUGGCACAUUCAUAAAGGCAACAAAUUAUUGAAUUAUUAUGCAUUAAUAGAAAUAAAUUUGUAAAUUUCAACCUCUAGACGGCCAGUAAGAAAAAAAGAAAAUUGAAAGCAGCUGUAAAAGCUUUGGAAAAAUGUUUUAGCAUUCUUCUAAGAAGAAAAAGUAACACUUUAUUAUUACAACCAAUUAUAAAUUCUUACUUUGUUUCAUUUAGGUAAGAAGAAGUUUUGGUUUUUUUUGAAUAGCCAAAAUGUUGAUAAUAUAGUGGUUGAAUGGAAAUGUAAAGCGAAGUUGUACACUUACUUCUUAAAACAAUUAAUUAAAAACGAUAUGAAACAAACACACUCUCAUACAAUAGAUUUUGACUAUACUAAAAAGAGAAAUAUAGAAAAAGAAAUUCUUGGAAAAGGAGGAUUUGGAGUUGUUUAUAAAGCCAGCAAGAAUAACCGUCAAUAUUUUGCUAUAAAAAAGCAGGAAAUAGCACUUCAGACAUUAGAUUCUACAGUACUAAAAACGGUAUUUUAAGUGAAUUUGUAAGGAAAUUUAUAAUAUGGAUCAAUUAUUAGUCUUUCAGAGAAAUGUCUGUGCUAGCUAAACUUCAUCAUCCUAAUAUUGUUAGAUAUUACACGUCGUGGGUUGAAAUUGAAGAACAAGAUAAGAAUUGUCUAUCAUUCUACUCGUCAAGUGUCAAUUCGAGUAAAUCAUUGAAAGAAAUCGAAAUGAACAAAAGGUUGAGUCGUCUUCCCCGCCUGUACGCUUAUAUUCAAACCGAACUAUGUUUGGCGAAUCUAGAACAUUGGUUGUUUAGCAUUCGUAAAAUUGGGACCAUUUAUGACUUUUCUACAGAAAUAGAUAUGAUGCACAACUUAUUAUCCGCUCUUGAAUAUAUGCAUUCGCAGGAGGUAUUACACAGAGACAUCAAACCUUCAAAUAUUUUGGUGAUAAAAGAGAAUAACAAGUUCAUGGCUAAGGUAGGCGAUUUUGGACUAUCAAGAUUAAUUCACGAUGUUCAAACUGAAGAUACUAAAUUUACAUCUAAUAUUGGAACACUAAUAUUCCGAGCGCCAGAGGCAAAAGGGUCAACAUAUUCUUAUCCAUCUGAUAUUUAUAGCCUUGGAAGAGUAUUUCAACUAAUGCUUAGCAAGUGUAAAACUCUUCAGGAUUUUAUAGAAAGAUUAAACAAUACUAAUAAUGGUUUAUUACUACAUAGCAAUGAUCUCCAGCCUGAUGAAUUCACUUUAUUUUCUUAUUACGUCAAAAUUAUGACUUUACCUGAUUCUAAGAUGAGACGCAUUCCUCCUCAUCAGCUUGUUAAGAAAUCUCCAUCAUUAAACCUUAAAACAAUCGAAGAAGAUAGUAUAAAUACUAAAUCAGAAUUGCCGUAUUCGUUCAAUAGGAAAAGUGUUCAUCCAUGCAGUAUUCUUUCAGUCUGCUCCAAGUCUUUAAAAUUUUCAAAGAAUCAUAGAAACGCAUAUCAGGAGGUAACUAUUAACGGUCCAAUCUACAUAAUUAAGGUCGUGGGAAAGACUCGAAAAGAAAAGAGAAUCUUUGCUAGUGAACUCCUUCAAAAUCUUUAUGAGUUUUCUUAUAGAAAUUUUCAGAAAUGUCUGGCGGAAGGAUUUCCUUGGGAUUCCGUCUUUGAUAAUUCAAAACUUGAUAAAAAAAAACAAGCAUUGAUUAAUCAACUUGUUGUAAGUGAACAGAUCAAGCCUUUUAAAAAAAAUUUUUUUAAAGGUAGUUUCACAAUUAGCGCAAUUGUACAUCAAAGUAAAACUAGAUUAGUUGCAAAGGUUCAAAAGAAUCUGGACAAAGGGAUUUUUAUUGUAGACGCUAAGAAAAUUAAAUUUGUAGACAUUAGUAAACGUAAUUAUUUGCAAACAAUAAAAAACGUUUAUAGUCUACUUCAAUUUAAACAUUCAAAUGUGCUGAGAUAUUUCCAAAUAUGGCUAGAGAGCAGUCCUAGAACAAAAGAGCCAAUAUUACAAAUAUACGUUCAAAUGGAAUAUAUUUGUUUAAAUUUAGAGAACUGGCUAGAGGACAAAAAAAAUGAGGAUAUAGAGCGUGAACUCUUUGACGAUAUAGUUUCUGGUUUGAACUACGUCUACAAGCACUUUAAAGUUCAUGGAAAUAUUAGAACAACUAAUAUUUUUAUUUCUACAAACGACUUCAGACAGAUAGCUAAGAUUGGACAAAUUUCUAUUCUACCUUACAUGUCAUCUUUGGACAAAUUUCAGGACUUGACAGAUUUAAAAAGCAUAGGGAAGUCUCUAUUAGAUUCCUUCGAGAAAAAGUGUAUUGAUCAUUGUAUGGUGUCGGUGCAUCGCAGGCAUUCAUCAUAUCCCUUCGAGAAAAAGAGUAUUAAUCAUUAUAUGGUAUCGGAGUUUCGCGAGUUUCGCCUUAAGAUUUCAAGAGCUACUCUUAAUGAGGCAGAAAAUAAGAUCGUGUUCUGAUUCGAUGGUUCGACAACAUGUUAACCGUGUUCAAUACAGUCACAGAUGUUUGGUCCUAAAUUUUUUUAUUUAAGUAUUUAUAACUCUUUAUUUAUACACUGUAUAUACUGUAUAAAGAAUAAUGAUGUCGGCUUUUAUAAGAUUGUUUUCUUAUAUCCCAUUAUCUUCAUCUAAACUUUUCCUACCUGAGCGUUCAGUACUCUGUACAAACUGUAUCUACUAAUCAUUUACCUUGUUUAUAUAACGAAAAGUAACGCCCAUAUUUAAUUACGAUACACUAUUGAAUAGAAAAAAAACGUAAUAACAUAUAAUCAGAGAGGAAAAGAGAGAUAUUUCAUUUCAUCAAUCACUCUUUCAAUCCCAAUUGAUACGGGUAAGAGAAUUCAAGAAAAAAGUUGAGAACUAUGGAAGUCUUAAUAAUACAAAGGAUAAUAAAUUAUCUAAUAAUAAUUGAAUUAAAAAUGUAAUAUUUAUUUAAACUAAAAGAUAAUAUAAGUGUAACAUUUAACGCCCAAAAUUAAUUAAUCUCUUACAAAACGAAGCUAAUGAUAUAAGAUACAAAAACGAAAUGAAUGAAAAACUUGUGCAUUAUCCUAUUGAUGUUUUUCACUAACUAAAUGUAAUAAAGUAAGAUAUUCUUUAUUUGAAAUAAUAAAAAUUAAUUGUUACUUAGUCCUUAUUACAUCAUCUAUGAAAUGGCAAACUCAUCCUAUUUAAGAGACUACUUGAAUUUUAAAUCAGAAACAAAAUAUUUCACAAUAAGUUAUACAACUUGUGCGUCUUUGAUUGUAUUGUUAGGUAUAUUUGGAAAUAUAAUGAUAUAUAUAAUCAGCAGUAGAAAGAGCUUUAGGACAACAACUUUAUCCGUAUAUAUGAGGUUUUUGGCAAUAUUUGACUGCUUUUCACUUUUUGCUCUAUAUAGUCUCAUCUUUUCUACGUCUUUGUCUGGUUUUAUCAAUCUCAGUCUAAAUGCGAGGAAAAUAUAUACCUGCGCAAUCACUUACUUUGCCUAUCCAGUUGCAUUUUCUGGAAGUGGAUGGUUGAUGUUGAUCAUGACUAUUGAUAGAAGUAUGUUUAUCUUCUUUCCACUCAAAGCAUCUACAAUAUGUACAAAGAGGAAGGCGUUUGUGGCUUGUUCACUAUCAGUUCUAAUUCUAGUAUUAAUCUUUUCCUUUACUAUUUACGUUGGUGUGAAAGGAUCAAGUCGUUUUAUUCAUGAUGAAAACGACAAGUGGAAUAGUAUCUUUGUAUGCAUUCAAUCAAAUCCCCAAUAUACGACCUAUGCGACUAAAUUUCUCGCUCAUUUCCAAAAUAUAGCUGGAGGUUUAAUUCCGAGUAUUGGAAUUCUAUUCAUAAACUUUGCAAUGGUGUACGUGCUAUCAAAGAGAAAUCAAAUGAUAAGAGAAAUAACAAUGUCAACAACAAACGAUGAUGAAAAUUUAUCGGAAUUGACAAGAAUGUUGCUCUUUGUUUCAUUUUUCUUCCUAUUAACAACAGUACCGAAUUUCAUAAAAACAAUAGUAUUCACAGAAAUUGAAGCGUAUGGUCGAAACUAUCAAAAAUAUUUUAAAAUAAC